CACGUAGGGUGCGAGCGUUGUCCGGAAUCAUUGGGCGUAAAGGGCGCGUAGGUGGUUCUGUAUGUCUAUCGUGAAAGCAUACAGCUCAACUGUAUUUUGUCGGUAGAAACUGCAGGACUUGAGGCUGGGAGGGGCUGGUGGAAUUCCCUGUGUAGCGGUGAAAUGCGUAGAGAUGGGGGAGAACACUCGUGGCGAAGGCGGCCAGCUAGACCAGUUCUGACACUGAGGCGCGACAGCGUGGGGAGCAAACAGG
RNAcentral lists this ribosomal RNA (253 nucleotides) under uncultured bacterium. Its description in RNAcentral is "partial 16S ribosomal RNA". It matches the Rfam family "Bacterial small subunit ribosomal RNA", at positions 524 to 776 of the family's 1533-position model. The record is from RNAcentral.